GAUGAACGCUAGCUACAGGCUUAACACAUGCAAGUCGAGGGGAAACGAUAUUGGAAGCUUGCUUCCGAUAGGCGUCGACCGGCGCACGGGUGAGUAACGCGUAUCCAACCUGCCCACCACUUGGGAAUAACCUUGCGAAAGUAAGACUAAUACCCAAUGAUAUCUCUAGAAGACAUCUGAAGGAGAUUAAAGAUUUAUCGGUGAUGGAUGGGGAUGCGUCUGAUUAGCUUGUUGGCGGGGUAACGGCCCACCAAGGCGACGAUCAGUAGGGGUUCUGAGAGGAAGGUCCCCCACAUUGGAACUGAGACACGGUCCAAACUCCUACGGGAGGCAGCAGUGAGGAAUAUUGGUCAAUGGGCGAGAGCCUGAACCAGCCAAGUAGCGUGCAGGAUGACGGCCCUAUGGGUUGUAAACUGCUUUUAUAAGGGAAUAAAGUGAGUCUCGUGAGACUUUUUGCAUGCACCUUAUGAAUAAGGACCGGCUAAUUCCGUGCCAGCCGCCGCCGUAA
RNAcentral lists this ribosomal RNA (508 nucleotides) under uncultured bacterium. Its description in RNAcentral is "partial 16S ribosomal RNA". It matches the Rfam family "Bacterial small subunit ribosomal RNA", at positions 28 to 523 of the family's 1533-position model. The record is from RNAcentral.